UACAGAGGUCUCAAGCGUUGUUCGGAAUUACUGGGCGUAAAGGGUGCGCAGGCCGCGCGGGCAGUCAAAUGUGUAAUUCAGGGGCUCAACCCCUGCACUGCGCUUGAUACUUCCGCGCUCGAGCUUUGGAAAGGAGUCUGGAAUUCUCGGUGUAGCAGUGAAAUGCGUAGAUAUGCGGAGGAACACCGAUGGCGAAGGCAAUCCCCUGGGCCUGCACUGACGCUCAUGCACGAAAGCGUGGGGAGCAAACAGG
Molecule: ribosomal RNA, 253 nt
Filed under: uncultured bacterium
Lineage: Bacteria
Description: partial 16S ribosomal RNA
Rfam family: Bacterial small subunit ribosomal RNA
Source: RNAcentral